RNAcentral lists this ribosomal RNA (160 nucleotides) under uncultured bacterium. Its description in RNAcentral is "partial 16S rRNA". It matches the Rfam family "Bacterial small subunit ribosomal RNA", at positions 355 to 507 of the family's 1533-position model. The record is from RNAcentral.
UAGGGAAUCUUCCGCAAUGGGCGCAAGCCUGACGGAGCAACGCCGCGUGAGUGAUGAAGGCCUUCGGGUUGUAAAACUCUGUCUUCCGGGACGAACCGGUGGGAGAGGAAAUGCUCCCGCCCUGACGGUACCGGAGGAGGAAGCCCCGGCUAACUACGUG